Labeo rohita (rohu) is the source of this 401-nucleotide long non-coding RNA. RefSeq lists it as uncharacterized. The transcript has 3 exons. Lineage: Eukaryota; Metazoa; Chordata; Actinopteri; Cypriniformes; Cyprinidae. The record is from RefSeq and is a predicted model, not a curated record.
AAAGAUGUUCAAAAAGAUGUUACUAAAUGUCUCUGUCUUUAAGGAUACUCUCUUAAGUGUUAUUCGUGCACAUCUACUGCGAAGGAUUCCUGUGAAGCAGAAGUGCAGACAUGUCCACAUGGAUAUUCCAAAUGUUCAACUGCUACUGAUUCCACCGUGACAGCUAAAGGGUGUGCACUUUUCUGUUACCCUGGGACCGGUCGGGUACAGACUGGAGAGAGAUUAUCUAUCCAGUGCUGUGACACUGACCUCUGCAAUGCAGCUGAUGGAGUGUACAAGGGAAGCUUCCACCUGCUGUUUUCUCCUCUCCUCUUCUACUUCCUGUUUCAGUGAGUCCAGUUGCACUUCAUAAUCUACAGCUGGGGCAAAGACCACCACAAAAACAGAAUGAUACAUAUUUU